UAAUCUGUGCUGAGUUGGACUGUUAUAGCUAUAGUGUUCACCUCAAGAUGCUGAUCUAUGCUCCAAGCACCCCCAUGCCUCAGGACACGUGCUGCAGACCCAGUAUCAAAACUCAAGGUGAUUUUUUGAAUACCAGCAGGGCUAGAAAUGAGCCCUGCGGUCACAAGUAUUCUGUGCUAACUCCCUUCUCCAGCCCAGGCUUAUCUGUUUGCCUGAUGCUCCACCUACUUCCAGCCACCCCCAUGUGGGGCAUGGGCAGAGCCCACUGAUUUCAGCUGCCUUCUUAAAAACACUUCCUUCUGGGCAGAACUCCUAUUUAUGCAGAUAUUAUCAGCUCUGGGCCACAAUUGCUAACCCCAGUCUGCCUAGAGAGUCCUGCCAGGCUCAGCUCAGCAGCAUGUCUGUCAGGACCCUCACCACUCUUUCCAGGAUCUACCUCCUAGGACUGUUCUUCUCCAUUCUCCCAGGGUCCUGGACCCAGGUGCGACUAGUGGAGACAGGAGGCAAGGUGACAAAUGAAGGCCAGUCUGUUACUCUGAACUGCAGGGCCUCUGGCUUUAACUUCAAGGAAUACGCCAUGUCUUGGCACUGGAGCUCAACUGAGAACCACAGGGAGUUAGUGGCCAGCAUCAGCCCCAAAACUGGCAGUAACAGAGAGUACAGCACUAGAGUUCAGGGCAGGGCCUUCAUCACCAGGAACAAUGAGGCCCAAACUGUCUCCCUGACCUUGCACCAGCUGCGAAAGGAGGACUCAGGCAAAUACCACUGUGCCAAACACACUUUGCUGGGGCCAGGCAGAGGCCUUGACACAAACCUGGGAUUAUAG
This is a non-coding RNA of Phascolarctos cinereus (koala), 826 nucleotides long. The record is from the annotation of a RefSeq genome assembly. Lineage: Eukaryota; Metazoa; Chordata; Mammalia; Diprotodontia; Phascolarctidae.